Molecule: microRNA precursor, 76 nt
Filed under: Pteropus vampyrus (large flying fox)
Lineage: Eukaryota; Metazoa; Chordata; Mammalia; Chiroptera; Pteropodidae
Description: miRNA (ENSPVAG00000028050.1)
Source: RNAcentral
AGAGUGGCCAAGUGUCCUGGUUUACCUGGGACUGAGGGGUCUCCUGGGAUGCAGGACUUCAGUGCUACAACCAGGA